ACAUACGACCAUAGGCUGCAGAGAACUCGGGAUCCAGUCCGCUCUCCCUUAGAUAAGCUGCAAACCUCUGGAUUAGUAGUUGAGUGGGUGACCAUCAGCGAAUACCCAGUGCCGUAUGUU
Pseudomassariella vexata is the source of this 120-nucleotide ribosomal RNA. Lineage: Eukaryota; Fungi; Ascomycota; Sordariomycetes; Amphisphaeriales; Pseudomassariaceae. The record is from Rfam.